GAUGAACGCUGGCGGCGUGCUUAAUACAUGCAAGUCGAACGAAGCACCUUGGACAGAAUCCUUCGGGAGGAAGACCAUUGUGACUGAGUGGCGGACGGGUGAGUAACGCGUGGGUAACCUGCCUUGUACAGGGGGAUAACAGUUGGAAACGACUGCUAAUACCGCAUAAGCGCACAGUACCGCAUGGUACGGUGUGAAAAACUCCGGUGGUACAAGAUGGACCCGCGUCUGAUUAGCUGGUUGGUGAGGUAACGGCCCACCAAGGCGACGAUCAGUAGCCGACUUGAGAGAGUGAUCGGCCACAUUGGGACUGAGACACGGCCCAAACUCCUACGGGAGGCAGCAGUAGGGAAUAUUGCACAAUGGGGGAAACCCUGAUGCAGCGACGCCGCGUGAAGGAAGAAGUAUUUCGGUAUGUAAACUUCUAUCAGCAAGGAAGAAAAUGACGGUACUUGACUAAGAAGCCCCGGCUAAAUACGUG
Molecule: ribosomal RNA, 481 nt
Filed under: uncultured organism
Description: bacterial SSU rRNA
Rfam family: Bacterial small subunit ribosomal RNA
Source: RNAcentral